Molecule: unclassified non-coding RNA, 357 nt
Filed under: uncultured Phycisphaeraceae bacterium
Lineage: Bacteria; Pseudomonadati; Planctomycetota; Phycisphaerae; Phycisphaerales; Phycisphaeraceae
Description: contains 16S-23S intergenic spacer region
Source: RNAcentral
UCCGCUUUACAGCGGCAGUCUCGCUAGAGUCCUCGACAUUACUCGUUAGCAACUAGCGACAGGGGUUGCGCUCGUUAAUGGACUUAACCAGACACUUCACAGCACGAGCUGACGACAGCCAUGCAGCACCUGUGCACGUUGUACCCUUGCGGGCCUCAUUCCUGUUUCCAAGAACUAAUCCGUGCAUGUCAAACCCAGGUAAGGUUCUUCGCGUUGCUUCGAAUUAAGCAACAUGCUCCACCGCUUGUGUGAGCCCCCGUCAAUUUCUUUGAGUUUUAGCCUUGCGACCGUACUUCCCAGGCGGCACACUUAUCAAUUUCUCUACACCAAAUAUGCAUCGUUUAGGGCGUGGACUAC